Molecule: ribosomal RNA, 896 nt
Filed under: Polypedates leucomystax (Java whipping frog)
Lineage: Eukaryota; Metazoa; Chordata; Amphibia; Anura; Rhacophoridae
Description: partial 16S ribosomal RNA
Rfam family: Bacterial large subunit ribosomal RNA
Source: RNAcentral
AGCAGCCACCUUUUAAAACGCGUCAAAGCGUAACCUAAACCCCCCAAAAUACCAUUAAUUUUCAUGAACCCCUAAUUUAUAAUGAAUGACUCCAUAUUUAUAUGGAAGACACCAUGCUAGGAUUAGUAACAAGAAUUUAUAAUUCUCCAAAAUGCAAAUAUAAACCAACAUGGAUAGACCAUUGGUAGUUACCGAACCUAAAUUUACUGCAAUAACACCCACAAGAAAACUCUGCAGUACUUACUCGUUAACCUAACACCAGCGCAUUACAGGAAAGAUUUAAAAAAAGAGAAGGAAUUCGGCAAAUGACGGCCCCGCCUGUUUACCAAAAACAUCGCCUCUUGACUUAUAAUAAGAGGUCCAGCCUGCCCAGUGAAUUUUAAACGGCCGCGGUAUCCUAACCGCGCGAAGGUAGCAUAAUCACUUGUUCUUUAAAUGGGGACUCGUAUCAACGGCAUCACGAGGGUUUUACUGUCUCCUCUUUUUGAUCAGUGAAAUUGAUCUUCCCGUGAAGAAGCGGGAAUAUUUUUAUAAGACGAGAAGACCCCAUGGAGCUUUAAACCAAAUAACAACUUAACUACUUAUCCCACAAUAAAUUUAAGCCCUGUUAUAAGGUUUUUGGUUGGGGUGACCGCGGAGUAAAGCACAUCCUCCACGACGGAAAGAACAUAAUCUUUAUUUAAGAACCACACUUCUAGAAAUUAGUAUACUAACGUUUACUGACCCGACAAUCGAUCAACGGACCAAGUUACCCUGGGGAUAACAGCGCAAUCUACUUCAAGAGCUCAUAUCGACAAGUAGGCUUACGACCUCGAUGUUGGAUCAGGGUAUCCCGGUGGUGCAGCCGCUACCGAAGGUUCGUUUGUUCAACGAUUAAAACCCUACGUGAUCUGAGU